GACGAACGCUGGCGGCGUGCCUAAUACAUGCAAGUAGAACGCUGAAGGAGGAGCUUGCUUCUCUGGAUGAGUUGCGAACGGGUGAGUAACGCGUAGGUAACCUGCCUGGUAGCGGGGGAUAACUAUUGGAAACGAUAGCUAAUACCGCAUAAUAGUAGAUGUUGCAUGACAUUUGCUUAAAAGGUGCAAUUGCAUCACUACCAGAUGGACCUGCGUUGUAUUAGCUAGUUGGUGGGGUAACGGCUCACCAAGGCGACGAUACAUAGCCGACCUGAGAGGGGGAACGGCCAAACUUGGAAUGAGAAAAGGCCCAGACCUCCAACGGAGGGAGCCGUAGGGAAUCUUCGGCAAUGGGCGGAAGUCUGGACGAGCCAAGGCGGCGGAGGGAAGAAGGGUUUCCGAUUGUAAAGCCCUGUUGUAAGAGAAGAACGGGUGGUAGGGUGGAAAGUUCCCACUGUGACGGUACCUUAACAGAAAGGGACGGCUAACUUCGUG
Molecule: ribosomal RNA, 495 nt
Filed under: uncultured bacterium
Lineage: Bacteria
Description: partial 16S ribosomal RNA
Rfam family: Bacterial small subunit ribosomal RNA
Source: RNAcentral